Long non-coding RNA from Planococcus citri (citrus mealybug), 1118 nucleotides. RefSeq lists it as uncharacterized. The record is from RefSeq and is a predicted model, not a curated record. The transcript is spliced from 5 exons. NCBI's taxonomy places the organism in Eukaryota, Metazoa, Arthropoda, Insecta, Hemiptera, Pseudococcidae.
AAACACUUUCAAAAGUCAGUCCCAUCAGUAGGUAACUUAAUAAGCGCAAGUUUAAAAUGUUGCAUAAAACUGCUUUAACGUUACUCGCCACUUUUUUUUUUAGCAACGCUGUAAGAAAUGUUGCUUCGAGAUGGCAUAUGCCACCAUCAUCGUGUGAACUGUUUUCAUCGAAAAAUGUAUCGUAUCCUACACCUUCACCGAUCAAUGUUAUCACCAAGGAUGCCAUUGAAGUUGAGACAAAUUCGCCUGUAAUUCUAAAAAACCCACUGCUUAUUCCAUUUACAGUUAAAAAUAGCGGAUAUUCACUUGAAGGUUUUGAUACUCUACCAGCUUUAUUUCGUACCCAUGUAACAACAUUUGGUGGAGUACUAUGCGGCAAUGAGUACCUUUUUUAUAAAAUAAGGUUCAUCGUCAGUGAUGAUCCUAACAAUUCAAGCUACUCACAAAUAGAUGGCAAAGGAUCACCUUUGACUUUGAAUUUAAUCUACUACAAAAAAGAGUACGGCACAUUUGAAGAAUCUCUCAAACAUCGUGAUGGUGUGCUCCAGGAAGACUUUCUGCUUGAUUAUGAAAGUGCUUUUAUGUUGAUUCGGGCUUGAUAACUCUACUUACAUUUAAAUUAAGUAAUACAAAUGAAUCUCUCGUAUUAAUUUUCGCAGGCCGAUGUGUAUAAUGUUUUAUUCGCUCCCGUCCAACUCUUGACAGACUUAUUACUCAUAGAACCAGGAUCACAGGCGAUCGUUCCUUCAGCCCUCGCUUAUGCAUGGUUCGAUAGAUUACCAUUUCUAUUCGGGUACUACGCUUAUUAUGGAUCUUACAUUGAUUUCGAGACUGGCAAACAAUACGAAUGUGCGAUUACCAUAUUGGCUGAUAGGAUUGUUUAUGGACUUGGCAAAGAACAGUUCGAAAAUUCAUUCUUAAAAGUGAAAAAUAUUCAUGGAGGAAAACUAAUUAAUCGACAACCUAUUCAAAAAGUUGGCAAGAGACCAAUUUAUAAAGCCAAAGGGCUGGGUGGAAUAUUUACUCUUUUUUAAUUAGGUAGAGGUAUUUGAAAAAUUAUUUUUCAAAAAUGUGUGUUUACAGUUUCAUUAUUUAGCAAUAAAGAUUUUACUGUCUUA